UACAGAGGGGGCAAGCGUUGUUCGGAAUUACUGGGCGUAAAGGGCGCGUAGGCGGCCUUCUAAGUCGAACGUGAAAUCCCUGGGCUCAACCCAGGAACUGCGUCCGAUACUGGAAGGCUUGAAUCCGGGAGAGGGAUGCGGAAUUCCAGGUGUAGCGGUGAAAUGCGUUGAUAUCAGAAGGAACGCCGGUGGCGAAAGCGACGGACUGGAUCUCUUCUGACGCUGAGGCGCGAAAGCUAGGGGAGCAAACGGG
Molecule: ribosomal RNA, 253 nt
Filed under: uncultured bacterium
Lineage: Bacteria
Description: partial 16S ribosomal RNA
Rfam family: Bacterial small subunit ribosomal RNA
Source: RNAcentral